CUGGGAGGGGGAUGUUUGCU
This 20-nucleotide microRNA is filed under the name Ornithorhynchus anatinus (platypus). Its description in RNAcentral is "oan-miR-30b-3p". Its record names the gene oan-miR-30b-3p. Lineage: Eukaryota; Metazoa; Chordata; Mammalia; Monotremata; Ornithorhynchidae. The record is from miRBase by way of RNAcentral.